GGUUCUGUAGUUGACAGUGACAACGUUGAGUUGCAGCCUCGAAGGCGGAGGGGGACUUCCCAGGGCUU
RNAcentral lists this transfer RNA (68 nucleotides) under Mimachlamys varia. RNAcentral describes it as "tRNA-Cys". The record is from RNAcentral. Lineage: Eukaryota; Metazoa; Mollusca; Bivalvia; Pectinida; Pectinidae.